This 712-nucleotide ribosomal RNA is filed under the name Picumna sp. ZISP ISSID G027. RNAcentral's name for it is "partial large subunit ribosomal RNA". It matches the Rfam family "Eukaryotic large subunit ribosomal RNA", at positions 648 to 1286 of the family's 3401-position model. Lineage: Eukaryota; Metazoa; Arthropoda; Insecta; Hemiptera; Issidae. The record is from RNAcentral.
CCCGUCCUGAAACACGGACCAAGGAGUCUAACGUGUGCGCGAGUCGCUGGGCAUCACUAGACACCCGCGGGCGCAAUGAAAGUGAAGGCGUGGCCGGCCCUGGCCGGACGCGCCGCGGGAAGAUGGGGCCAGCGUCGACUGUGGCGCGCCUCCGCACUCCCGGGGCGUCUCAGCCUCUCCGCAAGGCGAGGCGAGGCGCACCCAGAGCGCACACGUUGGGACCCGAAAGAUGGUGAACUAUGCCCGGCCAGGACGAAGCCAGGGGAAACCCUGAUGGAGGUCCGUAGCGAUUCUGACGUGCAAAUCGAUCGUAUGAGCCGGGUAUAGGGGCGAAAGACUAAUCGAACCAUCUAGUAGCUGGUUCCCUCCGAAGUUUCCCUCAGGAUAGCUGGCGCUCGCGUUUCGCCGAGUCUCAUGCGGUAAAGCGAAUGAUUAGAGGCCUUGGGGCCGAAACGGCCUCAACCUAUUCUCAAACUUUAAAUGUGUGAGAUCCCCGGCCUGCUCGUAGGAUGAGGCCGGGGCGUUAUUUGUUGACGGAUCGGAGCGCCAAGUGGGCCGAUUUUGGUAAGCAGAACUGGCGCUGUGGGAUGAACCAAACGUCCGGAUAAGGCGCCCGAGUUCAACGCCAACCGGACACCAUGAAAGGCGUUGGUUGCUUAAGACAGCAGGACGGUGGCCAUGGAAGUCGGAAUCCGCUAAGGAGUUGUGUAAC